UUGUAGUGUGACAUGCCCGAUUGGGUUUUACUCUAAUGUUGAACAAUUAUUAUUUAAUUGAUUUUGGGAAACGGGGUGUUACAUAAUG
RNAcentral lists this microRNA precursor (88 nucleotides) under Medicago truncatula (barrel medic). RNAcentral describes it as "MIR2617 microRNA precursor family". It matches the Rfam family "MIR2617 microRNA precursor family". The record is from Rfam by way of RNAcentral. Lineage: Eukaryota; Viridiplantae; Streptophyta; Magnoliopsida; Fabales; Fabaceae.